CCUACGGGAGGCUGCAGUGAGGAAUAUUGGUCAAUGGGCGUAAGCCUGAACCAGCCAAGCCGCGUGAGGGAUGAAGGUUCUAUGGAUCGUAAACCUCUUUUGUAAGGGAAUAAAGUGUGGGACGUGUCCUAUUUUGUAUGUACCUUAUGAAUAAGGAUAGGCUAACUCCGUGCCAGCAGCCGAGGUAAUACGGAGGAUCCGAGCGUUAUACGGAUUUAUUGGGUGUAAAGGGUGCGUAGGCGGCCUGUUAAGUCAGCGGUGAAAGUCUGUGGCUCAACCAUAGAAUGGCCGUUGAAACUGGUGGGCUUGAGUAUGUUUGAGGCAGGCGGAAGGCGUGGUGUAGCGGUGAAAUGCUUAGAUAUCACGCAGAACCCCGAUUGCGAAGGCAGCCUGCCAAGCCAUGACUGACGCUGAUGCACGAAAGCGUGGGGAUCAAACAGGAUUAGAUACCCUAGUAGUC
RNAcentral lists this ribosomal RNA (460 nucleotides) under uncultured bacterium. Its description in RNAcentral is "partial 16S ribosomal RNA". It matches the Rfam family "Bacterial small subunit ribosomal RNA", at positions 338 to 795 of the family's 1533-position model. The record is from RNAcentral.